CUUGCUGACGACCGGCGAACGGGUGAGUAACGCGUAGGAAUCUGCCUCAAAGUGGGGGACAGCCCGGGGAAACUCGGAUUAAUACCGCAUAUAUUCUAAGGAAUAAAGAUGCCUUUUGGUGUCGCUUUGAGAUGAGCCUGCGUCCGAUUAGCUUGUUGGUAAGGUAAAAGCUUACCAAGGCGACGAUCGGUAGCUGGUCUGAGAGGACGUACAGCCACACUGGGACUGAGACACGGCCCAGACUCCUACGGGAGGUAGCAGUGGGGAAUAUUGCACAAUGGGCGAAAGCCUGAUGCAGCCAUGCCGCGUGUGUGAAGAAGGCCUUCGGGUUGUAAAGCACUUUCAGUCAGGAGGAAAGGGUGUGAGUUAAUACCUCAUAUCUGUGACGUUACUGACAGAAGAAGCACCGGCUAACUCCGUGCCAGCAGCCGCGGUAAUACGGAGGGUGCGAGCGUUAAUCGGAAUUACUGGGCGUAAAGCGUACGCAGGCGGUUUGUUAAGCGAGAUGUGAAAGCCCCGGGCUCAACCUGGGAACUGCAUUUCGAACUGGCAAACUAGAGUGUGAUAGAGGGUGGUAGAAUUUCAGGUGUAGCGGUGAAAUGCGUAGAGAUCUGAAGGAAUACCGAUGGCGAAGGCAGCCACCUGGGUCAACACUGACGCUCAUGUACGAAAGCGUGGGGAGCAAACGGGAUUAGAUACCCCGGUAGUCCACGCCGUAAACGAUGUCUACUAGAAGCUCGGAACCUCGGUUCUGUUUUUCAAAGCUAACGCAUUAAGUAGACCGCCUG
Molecule: ribosomal RNA, 788 nt
Filed under: uncultured bacterium
Lineage: Bacteria
Description: bacterial SSU rRNA
Rfam family: Bacterial small subunit ribosomal RNA
Source: RNAcentral